UAUAUAGUGUGCAGUGUGUAAUAUAUAGUGUGCAGUAUGUAAUAUAUAGUGUGUAAUAUAUAGUGUGUAAUAUAUAGUGUGCAGUGUGUAAUAUAUAGUGUGCAGUGUGUAAUAUAUAUAGUGUGUAAUAUAUAGUGUGCAGUGUGUAAUAUAUAGUGUGUAAUAUAUAGUGUGCAGUGUGUAGUAUAUAGUGUGCAGUGUGUAAUAUAUAAUGUGCAGUGUGUAAUAUAUAGUGUGCAGUGUGUAAUAUAUAGUGUGCAGUGUGUAGUAUAUAGUGUGCAGUGUGUAGUCUAUAGUUGGCAGUGUGUAAUAUAUAGUGUGCAGUGUGUAGUCUAUAGUGUGCAGUGUGUAAUAUA
This is a long non-coding RNA of Ictalurus punctatus (channel catfish), 356 nucleotides long. The record is from Ensembl. Lineage: Eukaryota; Metazoa; Chordata; Actinopteri; Siluriformes; Ictaluridae.